This 707-nucleotide ribosomal RNA is filed under the name uncultured Gammaproteobacteria bacterium. Its description in RNAcentral is "bacterial SSU rRNA". It matches the Rfam family "Bacterial small subunit ribosomal RNA", at positions 56 to 795 of the family's 1533-position model. Lineage: Bacteria; Pseudomonadati; Pseudomonadota; Gammaproteobacteria. The record is from RNAcentral.
UGCAGUCGAACGUGAAAGCACUUCGGUGUGAGUAGAGUGGCGGACGGGUGAGUAACGCGUGGGAAUCUACCCAGUAGUGGGGGAUAGCCCAGGGAAACUUGGAUUAAUACCGCAUACGCCCUAUGGGGGAAAGGCUUCGGCCGCUAUUGGAUGAGCCCGCGUCAGAUUAGCUAGUUGGUAGGGUAAAGGCCUACCAAGGCAACGAUCUGUAGCUGGUCUGAGAGGACGAACAGCCACACUGGGACUGAGACACGGCCCAGACUCCUACGGGAGGCAGCAGUGGGGAAUAUUGGACAAUGGGCGAAAGCCUGAUCCAGCAAUGCCGCGUGUGUGAAGAAGGCCUGCGGGUUGUAAAGCACUUUCAGUUGGGAAGAUGAUGACGUUACCAACAGAAGAAGCACCGGCUAAAUCCGUGCCAGCAGCCGCGGUAAUACGGAUGGUGCGAGCGUUAAUCGGAAUUACUGGGCGUAAAGCGCGCGUAGGCGGCUAAGUCAGUCAGAAGUGAAAGCCCCGGGCUCAACCUGGGAAUUGCUUUUGAUACUGCUUAGCUAGAGUUUGGUAGAGGAUAGUGGAAUUCCAGGUGUAGCGGUGAAAUGCGUAGAUAUCUGGAGGAACAUCAGUGGCGAAGGCGACUGUCUGGACCAAAACUGACGCUGAGGUGCGAAAGCGUGGGUAGCAAACAGGAUUAGAUACCCUGGUAGAAGGGC